This 96-nucleotide transfer RNA is filed under the name Blumeria graminis f. sp. tritici. It matches the Rfam family "tRNA". Rfam says of the family: Transfer RNA (tRNA) molecules are approximately 80 nucleotides in length. RNAcentral also lists the same sequence under 1 other name. Lineage: Eukaryota; Fungi; Ascomycota; Leotiomycetes; Helotiales; Erysiphaceae. The record is from Rfam by way of RNAcentral.
GGACAGAUGGCCGAGCUGGUUAUGGCGCCAGGUUAAGGUCAACCAAACCGAAUCCUGGUCACGAAAGUGGCGUGGGUUCAAGUCCCACUCUGUUCA